This 107-nucleotide small nuclear RNA is filed under the name Schistocerca americana (American grasshopper). The record is from RNAcentral. Lineage: Eukaryota; Metazoa; Arthropoda; Insecta; Orthoptera; Acrididae.
GUACUCGCUUCGGCGGUACAUAUACUAAAAUUGGAACGAUACAGAGAAGAUUAGCAUGGCCCCUGCGCAAGGAUGACACACAAAAUUAAAAAAAAAAAAAAAAAAAA